Molecule: ribosomal RNA, 598 nt
Filed under: Oceanistipes pacificus
Lineage: Bacteria; Pseudomonadati; Bacteroidota; Flavobacteriia; Flavobacteriales; Flavobacteriaceae
Description: bacterial SSU rRNA
Rfam family: Bacterial small subunit ribosomal RNA
Source: RNAcentral
CCUGGGCGGCCAAGCGAAAGUGAUAAGUAUCCCACCUGGGGAGUACGUUCGCAAGAAUGAAACUCAAAGGAAUUGACGGGGGCCCGCACAAGCGGUGGAGCAUGUGGUUUAAUUCGAUGAUACGCGAGGAACCUUACCAGGGCUUAAAUGNAUAUUGACAGGGGUAGAGAUACCUUUUNCUUCGGGCAAUUUGCAAGGUGCUGCAUGGUUGUCGUCAGCUCGUGCCGUGAGGUGUCAGGUUAAGUCCUAUAACGAGCGCAACCCCUACCGUUAGUUGCCAGCGAGUCAUGUCGGGGACUCUAACGGGACUGCCGGUGCAAACCGUGAGGAAGGUGGGGAUGACGUCAAAUCAUCACGGCCCUUACGUCCUGGGCCACACACGUGCUACAAUGGCCGGUACAGAGAGCAGCCAUCUGGCAACAGAGAGCGAAUCUACAAAACCGGUCACAGUUCGGAUCGGGGUCUGCAACUCGACCCCGUGAAGCUGGAAUCGCUAGUAAUCGGAUAUCAGCCAUGAUCCGGUGAAUACGUUCCCGGGCCUUGUACACACCGCCCGUCAAGCCAUGGAAGCCGGGAGUGCCUGAAGUCCGUCACCGUA